RNAcentral lists this ribosomal RNA (273 nucleotides) under uncultured bacterium. RNAcentral describes it as "partial 16S ribosomal RNA". It matches the Rfam family "Bacterial small subunit ribosomal RNA", at positions 524 to 796 of the family's 1533-position model. The record is from RNAcentral.
UACGGAGGGUCCAAGCGUUAUCCGGAAUUAUUGGGUUUAAAGGGUCCGUAGGCGGGCCUAUAAGUCAGUGGUGAAAUCCUGCAGCUCAACUGUAGAACUGCCAUUGAUACUGUAGGUCUUGAGUAUGAUUGAAGUGGGCGGAAUAAGACAUGUAGCGGUGAAAUGCUUAGAUAUGUCUUAGAACACCGAUUGCGAAGGCAGCUCACUAAGCCAUAACUGACGCUGAUGGACGAAAGCGUGGGGAGCGAACAGGAUUAGAUACCCCGGUAGUCC